Molecule: ribosomal RNA, 2931 nt
Filed under: Enterobacter asburiae
Lineage: Bacteria; Pseudomonadati; Pseudomonadota; Gammaproteobacteria; Enterobacterales; Enterobacteriaceae
Description: 23S ribosomal RNA
Rfam family: Bacterial large subunit ribosomal RNA
Source: RNAcentral
GGGUUGUGAGGUUAAGCGACUAAGCGUACACGGUGGAUGCCCUGGCAGUCAGAGGCGAUGAAGGACGUGCUAAUCUGCGAAAAGCGCCGGCGAGGUGAUAUGAACCUUUGACCCGGCGAUGUCCGAAUGGGGAAACCCAGUGUGUUUCGACACAUUAUCGUUAACUGAAUACAUAGGUUAACGAGGCGAACCGGGGGAACUGAAACAUCUAAGUACCCCGAGGAAAAGAAAUCAACCGAGAUUCCCCCAGUAGCGGCGAGCGAACGGGGAGCAGCCCAGAGUCUGAAUCAGCUUGUGUGUUAGUGGAAGCGUCUGGAAAGUCGCACGGUACAGGGUGAUAGUCCCGUACACGAAAAUGCACAGGUUGUGAACUCGAAGAGUAGGGCGGGACACGUGGUAUCCUGUCUGAAUAUGGGGGGACCAUCCUCCAAGGCUAAAUACUCCUGACUGACCGAUAGUGAACCAGUACCGUGAGGGAAAGGCGAAAAGAACCCCGGCGAGGGGAGUGAAAAAGAACCUGAAACCGUGUACGUACAAGCAGUGGGAGCACCUUCGUGGUGUGACUGCGUACCUUUUGUAUAAUGGGUCAGCGACUUAUAUUCUGUAGCAAGGUUAACCGUAUAGGGGAGCCGAAGGGAAACCGAGUCUUAACUGGGCGUUAAGUUGCAGGGUAUAGACCCGAAACCCGGUGAUCUAGCCAUGGGCAGGUUGAAGGUUGGGUAACACUAACUGGAGGACCGAACCGACUAAUGUUGAAAAAUUAGCGGAUGACUUGUGGCUGGGGGUGAAAGGCCAAUCAAACCGGGAGAUAGCUGGUUCUCCCCGAAAGCUAUUUAGGUAGCGCCUCGUGAAUUCAUCUUCGGGGGUAGAGCACUGUUUCGGCUAGGGGGCCAUCCCGGCUUACCAACCCGAUGCAAACUACGAAUACCGAAGAAUGUUAUCACGGGAGACACACGGCGGGUGCUAACGUCCGUCGUGAAGAGGGAAACAACCCAGACCGCCAGCUAAGGUCCCAAAGUCAUGGUUAAGUGGGAAACGAUGUGGGAAGGCACAGACAGCCAGGAUGUUGGCUUAGAAGCAGCCAUCAUUUAAAGAAAGCGUAAUAGCUCACUGGUCGAGUCGGCCUGCGCGGAAGAUGUAACGGGGCUAAACCAUGCACCGAAGCUGCGGCAGCGACACUAUGUGUUGUUGGGUAGGGGAGCGUUCUGUAAGCCGUUGAAGGUGUGCUGUGAGGCAUGCUGGAGGUAUCAGAAGUGCGAAUGCUGACAUAAGUAACGAUAAAGCGGGUGAAAAGCCCGCUCGCCGGAAGACCAAGGGUUCCUGUCCAACGUUAAUCGGGGCAGGGUGAGUCGACCCCUAAGGCGAGGCCGAAAGGCGUAGUCGAUGGGAAACAGGUUAAUAUUCCUGUACUUGGUGUUACUGCGAAGGGGGGACGGAGAAGGCUAUGUUAGCCGGGCGACGGUUGUCCCGGUUUAAGCAUGUAGGCGGAGGUUCCAGGUAAAUCCGGUACCUUUUAACGCUGAGGUGUGAUGACGAGGCACUACGGUGCUGAAGUAACAAAUGCCCUGCUUCCAGGAAAAGCCUCUAAGCAUCAGGUAACAUCAAAUCGUACCCCAAACCGACACAGGUGGUCAGGUAGAGAAUACCAAGGCGCUUGAGAGAACUCGGGUGAAGGAACUAGGCAAAAUGGUGCCGUAACUUCGGGAGAAGGCACGCUGAUAUGUAGGUGAAGCCCCUGCGGGUGGAGCUGAAAUCAGUCGAAGAUACCAGCUGGCUGCAACUGUUUAUUAAAAACACAGCACUGUGCAAACACGAAAGUGGACGUAUACGGUGUGACGCCUGCCCGGUGCCGGAAGGUUAAUUGAUGGGGUUAGCGGCAACGCGAAGCUCUUGAUCGAAGCCCCGGUAAACGGCGGCCGUAACUAUAACGGUCCUAAGGUAGCGAAAUUCCUUGUCGGGUAAGUUCCGACCUGCACGAAUGGCGUAAUGAUGGCCAGGCUGUCUCCACCCGAGACUCAGUGAAAUUGAACUCGCUGUGAAGAUGCAGUGUACCCGCGGCAAGACGGAAAGACCCCGUGAACCUUUACUAUAGCUUGACACUGAACACUGGUCCUUGAUGUGUAGGAUAGGUGGGAGGCUUUGAAGCGUGGACGCCAGUCUGCGUGGAGCCAUCCUUGAAAUACCACCCUUUAAUGGCUGGUGUUCUAACGUAGACCCGUGAUCCGGGUUGCGGACAGUGUCUGGUGGGUAGUUUGACUGGGGCGGUCUCCUCCCAAAGAGUAACGGAGGAGCACGAAGGUUAGCUAAUCCUGGUCGGACAUCAGGAGGUUAGUGCAAUGGCAUAAGCUAGCUUGACUGCGAGAGUGACGGCUCGAGCAGGUGCGAAAGCAGGUCAUAGUGAUCCGGUGGUUCUGAAUGGAAGGGCCAUCGCUCAACGGAUAAAAGGUACUCCGGGGAUAACAGGCUGAUACCGCCCAAGAGUUCAUAUCGACGGCGGUGUUUGGCACCUCGAUGUCGGCUCAUCACAUCCUGGGGCUGAAGUAGGUCCCAAGGGUAUGGCUGUUCGCCAUUUAAAGUGGUACGCGAGCUGGGUUUAGAACGUCGUGAGACAGUUCGGUCCCUAUCUGCCGUGGGCGCUGGAGAAUUGAGGGGGGCUGCUCCUAGUACGAGAGGACCGGAGUGGACGCAUCACUGGUGUUCGGGUUGUCAUGCCAAUGGCACUGCCCGGUAGCUAAAUGCGGAAAAGAUAAGUGCUGAAAGCAUCUAAGCACGAAACUUGCCCCGAGAUGAGUUCUCCCUGAGACUUUAAGUCUCCUGAAGGAACGUUGAAGACGACGACGUUGAUAGGUCGGGUGUGUAAGCGCAGCGAUGCGUUGAGCUAACCGAUACUAAUGAACCGUGAGGCUUAACCUUACAACGCCGAAGGUGUUU